GAUGAAGAACGCAGCGAAAUGCGAUAAGUAGUGUGAAUUGCAGAAUUCAGUGAAUCAUCGAAUCUUUGAACGCACAUUGCGCCCCUUGGUAUUCCAUGGGGCAUGCCUGUUCGAGCGUCAUUUGUACCCUCAAGCUAUGCUUGGUGUUGGGGAUCGGCCAAAGCCCGCGAGGGACGGCCGGCCCCUAAAUCUAGUGGCGGACCCGUCGUGGCCUCCUCUGCGAAGUAGUGAUAUUCCGCAUCGGAGAGCGAUGAGCCCCUGCCGUUAAACCCCCAACUUUCCAAGGUUGACCUCAGAUCAGGUAGGAAUACCCGCUGAACUUAAGCAUAUCAAUAAGCGGAGGA
RNAcentral lists this unclassified non-coding RNA (344 nucleotides) under soil metagenome. Its description in RNAcentral is "partial contains 5.8S ribosomal RNA, internal transcribed spacer 2, and large subunit ribosomal RNA". The stretch from base 1 to 120 matches the Rfam family "5.8S ribosomal RNA", at positions 35 to 154 of the family's 154-position model. The record is from RNAcentral.